GACAGAGGUGGCGAGCGUUGUUCGGAUUUAUUGGGCGUAAAGCGAACGCAGGUGGUUUGGUAAGUCAGGGGUGAAAGUCCGCAGCUUAACUGCGGCACUGCCUCUGAUACUGCCUUUCUUGAGUGCAUGAGGGGGAAGCGGAAUUCCGAGUGUAGAGGUGAAAUUCGUAGAUAUUCGGAGGAACACCGGUGGCGAAGGCGGCUUCCUGGCAUGUAACUGACACUCAUGUUCGAAAGCGUGGGUAGCAAACAGG
Molecule: ribosomal RNA, 253 nt
Filed under: uncultured bacterium
Lineage: Bacteria
Description: partial 16S ribosomal RNA
Rfam family: Bacterial small subunit ribosomal RNA
Source: RNAcentral